UCCGUAGGGUGCGAGCGUUGUCCGGAAUUAUUGGGCGUCAAGAGCUUGUAGGCGGUUUGUCGCGUCUGCUGUGAAAAUCCGGGGCUCAACCCCGGACUUGCAGUGGGUACGGGCAGACUAGAGUGUGGUAGGGGAGACUGGAAUUCCUGGUGUAGCGGUGAAAUGCGCAGAUAUCAGGAGGAACACCGAUGGCGAAGGCAGGUCUCUGGGCCACUACUGACGCUGAGAAGCGAAAGCAUGGGGAGCGAACAGG
Molecule: ribosomal RNA, 253 nt
Filed under: uncultured bacterium
Lineage: Bacteria
Description: partial 16S ribosomal RNA
Rfam family: Bacterial small subunit ribosomal RNA
Source: RNAcentral